ACGGGGUGCAGCAGGGGCGAAAACUUCGCAAUGGGGGCAACCCCGACGAGGGAAAUCCAAGUGCCGGCACAUAGUGUCGGCUGUUGUUUAGUCUAAAUCGCUAGACGAGGAAAGGCUGGGUAAGACGGGUGCCAGCCGCCGCGGUAAUACCCGCAGCCUGAGUGGUGGUCGCUUUUAUUGGGUCUAAAGCGUCCGUAGCCGGAUCGUUAAAUCCAUGGGUAAAUCGACUCGCUUAACGAGUCGAAUUCCGUGGAGACUGGCGAUCUAGGGACCGGGAGAGGUCAGAGGUACUUUCGGGGUAGAGGUGAAAUUCUUUGAUCCCGGGGGGACCACCAGUGGCGAAGGCGUCUGACUGGAACGGAUCCGACGGUAAGGGACGAAACCCUGGGGCGCAAACCGGAUUAGAUACCCGGGUAGUCCAGGGCGUAAACGCUGUAGGCUUGGUGUUGCGUAUUCGACAAGAGUGCGCAGUGCCGUAGAGAAGUUGUUUAGCCUACCACCUGGGGAGUACGGUCGCAAGGCUGAAACUUAAAGGAAUUGGCGGGGGACC
This 550-nucleotide ribosomal RNA is filed under the name uncultured euryarchaeote. Its description in RNAcentral is "bacterial SSU rRNA". It matches the Rfam family "Archaeal small subunit ribosomal RNA", at positions 325 to 877 of the family's 1478-position model. Lineage: Archaea; Methanobacteriati; Methanobacteriota. The record is from RNAcentral.